Molecule: long non-coding RNA, 531 nt
Filed under: Olea europaea subsp. europaea
Lineage: Eukaryota; Viridiplantae; Streptophyta; Magnoliopsida; Lamiales; Oleaceae
Source: RNAcentral
UGGGGGGAAAAAAAUUAAACAUGAAGUUAAAAAAAUUGAAGUAAACCUCAUGAAUCACAGAAACGGUAAAAUUCAUCCACAUAUGUAAAAUCCAAAAAGGAAACAACAUUGCAAAUUAAGUUAUAUAUUUACAAAAAAAUAAUUUUCCAUGUUCUUGAAUGUAUGUAUAAACUAUACAGAGUAUCGUAAGUUAAAGCACGAAUAAUUCCACGACGACGAGCACUAUAAUCUUCGAUGAUCUCCUCUAGAGUCCUGGGGUUUGAAGAAACUGAAGUAUACAAAUUAUGGAAUCUAAAAUUUAUCGAUAAUUAUGAAUUGAUUAUUCCAUAGAUUAAAAAAAAUGUGCGGCUAGGUUUCCUUGAUGGUGGUGAGUAGAGGCCAAGAGGGAAAGGGAAUAAUGUUGAAAAUAAUGAAUAGAAGAGGACAAUAAAGCUUUUAAAUUUGUUUCUGUAAAGCGGAAGCGGAAGCGAAACCAAUGAAGAAUGUAGAAGAAAAAAAAAUUGAAGAGGAUCAUUAUGGUGCUAGGGUAAG